CCCUAUAAUUUUUGCACUCUCUUUUAUCCCCUUUGCCUUUAUACAAAGGAACUAUGCAUGCUCUCUGCCAAUCCCUAGGUACCUUACCCUCUUCCAUACAUUUAUUAAAUAAUUGCAACAUACAAUGAUAUAUAUACAACAGGACAAAAGAUACAUAUGUAUAAUGAUAUAUAUACAUGUAUAACAGGACAAGCAGGAAAAUGUUUAAUGGUUGGUUUCCUGUUCCAUUCUCACCAUUAAGCUAGCAAGUAGCAACUCAGGAAAAGAUUAAGAUCCAAACUUGUCCAGCUAAUGGGUACUUGUCCAGCUAAUGGGUACUUGAAAUGAGACUGGAGUCACCUUGUAAUUCAGUAUGGCCAAGACAUUUUAUGUAACUGUGGUGACUGAAAAUAAUUUGAUAAAUAUUGUAUUUUUGAGUGAAAGGUGUUUUUAUUGUAUUUAUUUGUUAAAUAUAACUAUUAAUAAUAUUUAAUAAGAGAAAUGGUUAUGUUUGUAAACCUGAUACAUUUUUUUUUCUUGUACCAUAAAUAAAUGUUGUACAGUUUUGUCAGGGCAACUAAUAUGCCUAAGUAAUCAUUUUUUUAAGAUUUUAACAGUGGAUGGUAGAUAUACUUUAUACAGUGGAUCCCCGGUUAACGAUAUUUUUUCACUCCAGAAGUAUGUUCAGGUGCCAGUACUGACCGAAUUUUUUCCCAUAAGAAAUAUUGUGAAGUAGAUUAGUCCAUUUCAGACCCCCAAACAUACACGUACAAACGCACUUACAUAAAUACACUUACAUAAUUGGUCGCAUUCGGAGGUAAUCGUUAUGCGGGGGUCCACUGUAUAGUGUUUUCAUUAACUGAGAAGGAUCAGUUCCGUGGUUGAAGCUACAUUACCCUUCCAUGAGUUAAGUUUAAUUACCCCCCAUUCCACAGGCACUGCAUGUCCAUUAUGGGUUUAGUACUUCCUCAUUAAUGCAUUAAUAAUCAUCAACCAAUACUAAACUUAAUCCAUUGUAAUUUAUUUCAUAUAUGUCUCAUAAUACAUCAAAUUAAGCUACAAAACAUGCAGAUUUUCUUCCAGGAAUUAUUAUUUUUCUGCAUUUUAGAGGUAAUAUAUUUUUGUACUGUACAUCAAAACAUUUAUAUUCCUACUCUAUUUUUACCAUUGAUAAAAAAAGGUUUCUGACAACAGAGGUGUCCGUAAAAGGUGAACAAAUCUCCUGGAUGUAUGCUCAGCAUAAUAAUAAUAAUAAUAAUAAUAAUAAUAAUGAUAUCUUUAUAUACUCCAAGUACUUGUACAAGGUAUAUAGAUCUAGCUGACGUCAGUGACAUACUACUAUAUAGAAAACCGCUUGUUAUGCACAGCAUUUCGGGCAAAUUAGGUCAGUUUUGUCCCAGGAUGCGACCGACACCGGUCGACUAACACCCAAGUACCCAUUUUAAACUGAUGGGUGAACAGGGACAGGGACAGCAGGUGUCUUAUGGAAACACGUCCCUAAUGUUUUCCAGCCGUACCGCAGGAGAUUAGCACCCUGGACGUUAGUGUGUGAGUUGAGUGCACUAACGAUCGAGCUACGGGACACCCAGUGUUAAAGUAUCAUAUUUCAAUAUUCAGCUUGUCUAUAAGAGUCAUAUAUACAGUUGCACAGUGUUGCAUGUGCAAAAUUUGACACUUUUUAAUGUUUGCAACAGUGUGGCACAAUAAAUACUAUACUCCCAAUAACAUCUUGAUCAGUAAACAUCUCCACAUGAUGUGAGAUAAGUUUGAUAAACCAAGUAUAAUAGUAAAGAGUUGCCUCAAUAGAAAGAAAAGAGAGAUAAGAUAGGAGGGAAAGAUAACAAGAGCUCAACUCUAUAAGAGUAAAUUACAUGUCAUGUUUAGCUUUUAAAACUGUAUCCUUCAAAAAUACUAUAUACGUGUAUUUGUAUCAUGCUUCUAGUCAGAUUUUUUUUUUUUUUAGAAAUGAGAAAAACAUCUGAAAAUAAAAAUUGCCAAUUUUAUUAAGACCAUAUUUUCAAUACUCAUGUUCCGAAUAAUCCACAAAUUAUGAAUUUUCCAAAGCACUAGUUGUGCUUUGUAAUUACAAUGCAUGGAAAAAUAGGGCUAAAGAGGGGUUAUUGAAGUGGUUUGAACAUUUAUAGAGGAUGAAAAAUAGGAUGACUAGGAGAGCAUAUAAAUCUGGAGUGGAGGGAAGGAAGUGUUGACUAACACCCAGGUACCUCUCACUCCUAAAGAGUGAGAGGAGGCAAGUGGUUCUUACGAUUUAACAUGCUGUUGGAGUGAGUAAAGUAACAUUUAUGAAGGGAUUCAGGGAAACCAGAUAGCCGGACUAAAGUCCUGUUGGUGGGAAGUACAGUACCUGCACUCUAAAAGAUGGGUGAGGAUGUUGCAGUUUGGAUGGUUUAUCUGAACUGUCAUGUUAGUGCCCUUCUGGCAAGACAGUGGUUGAAUGAGAGAUAGUGAAAGUGCUUUCUUCGUUAUCGGGUCACCCUACCUGUGGGAGACAGGCAGAGUUUUAAAACCAUUUCUUAAGCUGACCUUGUUGCCCAUUGGAGAAAGGGAUAUUAGUUGAGAUAGGAAAAAUGUCAAUUAUGUUGCCUUUUUUCUGUUGAAUGUGAUUGUGCAUGAUGGAGAGUGACAGGAUGAUGAAGAGGUGUGUAAAUCUGGAAUGAAAGACAGGAACAGUUAGAGGAUGGGGUUAAAGAGGGUUUGCAUUUUAGGGACUUGUGUGUGCCUUAUUGGAAAGCUAUUUUCAACUGUAGUGCACCAGUGGCUAUUAGCCACUAUAUAAUCCUUAUAAGAUUAGCUCUCUCACACAAAUGUACUGUCUAGUAGCAAAUUUAAGAAGGUAUUCAGUUUGUAUAAUAAGUUUUUCUUUCUGAUCAAUACCUCAUAAACAGAAUUACAAAAUUGCUUCAGAAUGGUACAGUGGUUUAGUAUUUUUCAGUACUCGUUGGAACAUUGAACGGUGGCCUGGUGGCUAAAGCUCCCGCUUCACACACGGAGGGCCCGGGUUCAAUUCCCGGUGGGUGGAAACAUUUCGACACGUUUCCUUACACCUGUUGUCCUGUUCACCUAGCAGCAAAUAGGUACCUGGGUGUUAGUCGACUGGUGUGGGUCGCAUCCUGGGGGACAAGAUUAAGGACCCCAAUGGAAAUAAGUUAGACAGUCCUCGAUGACGCACUGACUUUCUUGGGUUAUCCUGGGUGGCUAACCCUCCGGGGUUAAAAAUCCGAACGAAAUCUUAUCUUAUCUUAUAUACUAUCUGUGGUAAAAAGUAUUCUUUAAAUGACCUAUAUGUCAUUUUCCACAUUCCUCACUACAGGGCCCCGUUUAACAAAAUAGAUUGAUCGACAGAUAAGUUUUGUAUAAGACCAAUAAACAUCUUCAGCCACAUUGUUUAGCAGUGCCACAAUCUGCCGAGAACUUUCUGCCAGGUGUUUUCACCCAACAAAUACUGCAGCAAAACUUGAACUUGAGAAUACCAACGCUUCCUUUUGAUCUACAGUUAUUUUAAAAUGUCUUUUUCAUAUUUGUCAAAAUAAGCCCAGAAAGAGGCUAGUUUUCACUUGUGAAGGUGGCAGAGCAAUUUGUUAAUAACCUAGUUGAAUCAAUGCUUACAUGUUGUUUUACACUCGACCAAACUAUAAAUGUACUUUUUUCAUAAGCAAAUUAGCUAAUUUUAUUGUUCUGACCCUUCCCUAUAUGACUCUUUUGGGUUUAGCACUUCUCCCUGAUUAAAAUAAGUGUCCCUAUGGGUUUAGUGCACCCCAUGAUUAUAAUAUAGUAAUGCAGACCAGAACUGCAACCUUUAUGUACUAGCAGGGAUAUGUUCCUAGAGGUCUUAGUCAAUGCAAACACUGUGAAUGCCACUAUAUUUUUUUGUAUAAAAGUUCAUUAUGCUAAUAUAUAUUAAAAUAAUACUAUACAGUACUCAAGUUUUGAUUUUGAUGUAAUGUAAAUAACUGAUGUGUUGCUGUAGGUAUUUCUUGGGAAGUUGAAAGGUUGAUUCAUCUGUACACUCAUCCAGAGUGGUAGAGGUGGUUGUUACAGUGGUGUUUAUGGUGGUGCCCUAAGUGGUUGUUACAGUGGUGCCUGAGGUGGUUGUGGUGGUGGUGCCUGAGGUGGUUGCUGCAGUGCUGGUUAUGGUGGUGCCUAAAGUGGUUGUGGUGGUGCCUAAAGUGGUUGUGGUGGUGGUGCCUAAAGUGGUUGUGGUGGUGUCUAAAGUGGUUGUGGUGGUGAUGCCUGAGGUGGUUGUGGUGGUGGUGCCUGAGGUGGUUGUGGUGGUGGUGCCUGAGGUGGUUGUGGUGGUGGUGCCUGAGGUGGUUGUGGUGGUGGUGCCUGAGGUGGUUAUGGUGGUGGUGCCUGAGGUGGUUGUGGUGGUGGUGCCUGAGGUGGUUGUGGUGGUGGUGCCUGAGGUGGUUGUGGUGGUGGUGCCUGAGGUGGUUGUGGUGGUGGUGCCUGAGGUGGUUGUGGUGGUGGUGCCUGAGGUGGUUGUGGUGGUGGUGCCUGAGGUGGUUGUGGUGGUGGUGCCUGAGGUGGUUGUGGUGGUGGUGCCUGAGGUGGUUGUGGUGGUGGUGCCUGAGGUGGUUGUGGUGGUUUUUGCCUUUUCAUUACACUUGAUAAUUUACUGGGUAAAAGAAAUAUGAAUAUGAAUAAAAAUAUGAAUAUCUGCCACUGUAUUCAAAAGCAGAUGGUGAAUUAUUAUUAUCAUCAUACUUGUCCUCGUGACAUACCUGUGACUGAUUUCAAUAACUGUACCCUCGCAGCCCAGCUUCAGGUCAGGCCCAUUUGUGGACCAUCUGGUCAUCCAGGCUGUUUAUGUCAUUAGUCUGCAAACCCACAUAGCCAUCACCAGUUGGCUGAUCAGGCAUUUGCAGGAGAUCAGGUCCAGUUUUCUCUCGAAAACUUUCCCUAUCAUGACCAUUUGUAGGAGCCCUACAGUGCCUAUGAAAUAGGAGGGGUAGUUCCAGUUCCUUGGAUCAGGAGCCAUUCAUCAGCAUCAAGGCACCCUUUCCCUCUCUUUCUUUAAAGGAGCAGAUGGAACAGAGUAAAAAUAAGAAGCAGAGUAUUGUACAGUUCUACAGUGUUAGAAACAUUCCUUUUAAUACUCCCUUUAAGAGGAUGCUGGUAAAACGCUCUUGAUCCAAGGAAUUUGAGCUACCUUUCCUUUCCCCAGAUUAAACCUUACUUCCACCCUUUCCCAAGUGCUGUUUGAGCCCUAUGGGUUUAGCACUUUGCUACGAAAAUAAUAAUUUAUGCUACCAAUAGAAGCUCUCGUACUAGGUAUUUAUUUAGUAAUUAGUUGCUGUUACAAGUACAAUACAAAAUAGUACAUAAAUUUGAUUUAUUAAUUUAUUCAUAUUUUAUCAGGAUGAGGCUGUCAUUCCUUUACAAUUAGCUAUGAUAUUUAUUUUAACAUUGAUAUUGUUUAUUCUCAGUAACAACAAACAAGAACGCUGUGUAAACCACACAAGUUUGGCACUUGUUGUCAAAUAUAAUAAUAUCCCCCUGUUUGAUGUUAUUGUAAUAAUAAUAAUAAUACACUCAGAUGAUAAUGAUAAUAAUAAUAAUACACUCAGAUGAUAAUGAUAAUAAUAAUAAUAGACUCAGGAGUCAAUGGAUAGUGGAUGAUUGUACCAGAGGUUUAUAGUUAUUGAAAUAAAACAUAUAAAAUAAUGUAGCAAGGUCCAGUAUAGAAAUUAAUUUCAAAUAAAUUAUACAGUAAGUUGAAAGUGCCAGAUUGACAUUAUUUGUAAAAGUCUUUAAAAGGUUUUAAAUUAUCAAAUGUUGAUGUGACUGUGAAAGUUAUGAUGAUGAAUGUGAAGUUUUUUUGAGAAAUCACUUGGACAGAAAAUUGAGUAAAACAGAACUGUAUACUGUGCUGUAUUUUGGUUCCUCAGUGGAAGCUCCUUUAUGCCAGUCAGGAGCUUAAUGUCCAAGGAACUGGACCUUCGUUUACCCUGGAGUGAACCUGAGUGCUUCCCAUUUUCCUGGGCAUUGUAUGUGACCUUCCUUCCCUAUAGGUUUAUUGCUCCCAUAUGAACGUACUACUACUACUAAUAAUAAUAAUAAUAAUGCUACUGCAUUUUAGCUUCCGAGACUUUACUGAUAUUGCAUGGCAAGACUUGCUGACAAAUAUGGUAAAAAAAAAAAAAGAAUGUUAUGUGCAGAAUAAAAAUUUAUUUACAGAUGACAUUUCAUUCUUAAGUACAUAGAGCUUUAUCAAGUCAGUAGACUUGAUAAAUUCCGACUUAAAACAAAAUAAUAUCUAUUAUUUUUUUAUUCAUAUAAAAUGUGCCUGUAAAUAAAGGUUUGCUCUGUGCCAGCCAUUUUUUACCAUACUAUGCUGAAAAGGAUCUUGCACUGAGGCCAAAAUAUACAGAUUUUUUUUCUUUCAAUAUUCUGUUCAAGUGGUUUGUUACUUCUCGCUGCUCAAUGUUUAUUACACUAAUCCAAAUGUAAAGUAUGUUAUGUGUGUGAUGAGUCUUGGCCAUUAUGAGAAUACUUAUGUCACCUAAAUCCAUCUGUAUUUAUUCAACAGUAAAGAUUAAGUAAAUUUCCAAUAAUAGUAAUGAGACGGCAGAAUCUUACUGGUAUUACAAGUGGGCAGGUAAAUACACCUAUGUAAAUAAUGGUAAGUAAAAGGGAAAAAAAAUAUGUCAGUGCUAGAAUGUGUUAAAGAAAACUGUAAGUAAUGAAAGAUACUGUAUAA
Molecule: non-coding RNA, 6697 nt
Organism: Cherax quadricarinatus
Lineage: Eukaryota; Metazoa; Arthropoda; Malacostraca; Decapoda; Parastacidae
Source: RefSeq, a predicted model, not a curated record